This 484-nucleotide ribosomal RNA is filed under the name uncultured bacterium. Its description in RNAcentral is "partial 16S ribosomal RNA". It matches the Rfam family "Bacterial small subunit ribosomal RNA", at positions 30 to 507 of the family's 1533-position model. The record is from RNAcentral.
AUUGAACGCUGGCGGCAGGCCUAACACAUGCAAGUCGAGCGGAAGAAGGGAGCUUGCUCCUGGAGUCAGCGGCGGACGGGUGAGUAAUGCCUAGGAAUAUGCUUGGCAGUGGGUGAUAACGUCUGGAAACGGGCGCUAAUACCGCAUACUACCUGAGGGUGAUAGUUGGGGUGGUUCGGACAGCACGCUAGCAGGGGAGUCUAGGCCGGAUUAGUUAGUUGGUGGGGUAAAGGCCUACCAAGGCGACGAUCCGCAACUGGUCUGAGAGGAUGAUCAGCCACCCUAGAACUGAGACACGGACCCGACCCCUACGGUAGGCAGCAGUCGGGAAUGUUGGACACUGGACGAAAACCUGACCCAUCCAUGCGGCGUGUGAGAAGAAGGUCUCCGGUUUGUAAAGAACUUCAAGGUGGGGGGAAGGGCAGUAAGUUAAUACCUUGCUGUUUUGACGUUAACAACAAAAUAAGCACCGGCUAACUACGUG